AAAGAUAUUGGGGCACCUGAGUGGCCCAGUUGAGUGUCUGUUGAUUUCAGCUCAGGUCAUGAUCACAGGGUCAUGGGAUCAAGCCCCGCAUCAGGCUCUGUGCUGGGUGGGGAGCCUGCUUAAGAUUCUCUCUCUCCCUCUGCCCUCACCCCCACCUCUCAAAAAAAAGAUAGCCCCCAGUAGGUUAAUUAUGCCAAUAUAAUCUUAGGCACGUUUAACUUAUUUGAGUUCAAAGUAAUCUUCAAACAUCUUCUCCGUGUGCAUAUAAAUUGAUGUUCGUAACCACAGUGUAUAUUAGUGAACUGCAAGAGAGUGUCUGUCCUUUGGACAUUUGUGGCUGUGUGGAUCCGUGUUCCACCAAAUUGUUGCUGUUUAUCUCUCUCUGCCUCCCUCCCCCGUUUGCUCUGCCAUGCUUUUCUUUUAUAUUCAUCAACUUAAAUUUCCAUAUACAGGAAGUGUGUGGGACCAAAAGAGGAUUUUUGUUCAUUUACCUACCAACAGAGGGGAUGUCCUAGACCAAUCCCCAAGGAUGGUUUUUUUUCUUGCAUCUGACUAAUGAAAUAAUCAUCUAUUGGAGCAACUUCCUCUCAUGUUCCCCUUUCUACAUCAAAGGGCAGCAUAACGUGGGGGUUAAACCUCUGGCCUGAGCUUAGAUCUUGCCUCUGUAACUCUUCUGCCUUUGAAUUUUCCUCUGUAAGUUGGGGAGAUCACACCUGUGCCAGAGGAUCCCUGGAGGAGUAAAUGAGGUGAUAGCAUGCAAAGCACUUGAGUGGUGGUCAAUAUAUGAGUGGGAGCUUUCAUCACUUGAAUCCGUUUUCUGCUCUUUCUUUUCCUCUGCCUCCCUCUUCAUCUUAUGGACACUCAAGUAGGAGUGACUCUUGUGCUGCAGCAGCGAUGGCCUGGAAAUGGCUCCCCACCUCCCAUGUCAUUGUAGGGAAGAAAGGGUAAUGAUGAAGCAGAGUGGCUGAGCAUCCUGUGUAUUGACUUCUGUGGAAAGAUCUAUCCACCUGGAAACCCCUGUUGUGGUCCUGUGACCAUGUAACCACCUGCUUUCUUGGGUGGCUCUGCUAAGAGAUGUAUGCCUCACCAGCCAGGGCUGUGUGUUUCAUCUCUGUCUCCCACCAUCCUCCGACCCUGUGCCAAAAAAAGAGCUUGAGGGGAGAAAGGGACAAGUGGAACUUACAUACAUGUCUUUUGGGGCUCUCAAGCCUUUCCAACAUGCUGUAAGUAUUGUGAGUUGGGUUUCUUCUUUUUGCUCUUUGGUGACACCUUUGGGCCACGUAGUGAAGAAUUACCAGUCCCCCUAGUUGUGGGUGAUGGGCUUCGGGGUAGGGAGAGGCAGGAUUAUGGGUCUCCAAAGGUAGCCCUCUCCCUGGCCUGCCAUUCCCCCCAGUGUAAAUCUCUUAGAUACUUUCUUCUUAACUCCCCCUACAAGAUGGUAAAGUGUGUUUCACUUUACCUUUACCAGGGAGGUCCCCAGAUAGGAAAAAUGGACCCUUCUGUUGAAAGAGAAAGGGAACAUGAGGAAAUUGAGAAAAUGGAGAAAAGUAUGAAAGUAGUUUUUACACAAAGGAGACAAUGUGAUGUUGAUUAAUUUAAGAAUUGGGAUUAACCUGAUAUUACUUUGUUUUUCAGCCCGAUUAGAGAUGUGGAGCUCUUGGCAUGGGUCUUGAUAUAGUACAUUGUGUACUGUACAUACGGGUGUGGCAGGAUAAAGCUUCUCAAGGUACAACAGUCCUGUCUUAAGAUUAACAAAGUACAUCAAACUAAGCAAGAUUUCCCCCUCUUGAUUCCAGCUAAGACUCCCUGAGCAUAUUUUUACAUCUAAUGAAGUAUCUCUGAGCUUUCAUAAAAGAGUGGGCACAAUGCUCCUAAGUUUAAAUCAGCUAAAUGCAUAUGAAAUCAUAGCAGUACCCAUUAUGUGUUACAGCCGGGAUGGCGCUAAGCACUUAAUGCAAGAGGUUGUAGGAAAUCAACUCAUAUUAGAAAUGAUGUCGGUUCCUGGAAUUUAGUGUGUCUCCCAAGGGGAUUGAAUAUUGUGGCGACGUCGCCAAAGUGUGUCUUCUCUUUUCUUCAUCAGCCCUUCCACUCUGAUUACAGGCAGCUUAAAAAUAAAUUUGGGCAUGUCUCGGUGGCCAAAAACCAUGGAGAUCAGGAUGAAAUCAUUUUCAAGGCAGAAAUAACAAGCUUUGAUAAAGAUAUUCAAAGAAACACAGUCUAAUAGCAUAAGCACGUCGUGGUUAGACCCUUUAGGCACUAAAUUAAAUUGGAUUUAGAGUCGGAGGUCUCCUGAGAAGCCAUGAUACCUUGGGUAAGUCACUUAAAUUAUGAGCCCCCCCCCAUUUCCUCACCUGGAACAUGGCAGCCAAUUACAGGAUUAUCAUGAGGGUUAAAUUACAUUAAAUGGGCUAGUCAGUGAACGGACCUGGGAUUGUUAGCACUCAGUAAAUUUUAAUUCAGAGUGAGAAUCUGGUAUUUAAAGAUUACUUCCUAAAAGUAAUCUUUAAAUAAAUAUAAAGAUUGUAGUUCAGUCUCUGGACUCUCAGUCCCAGAUUUCUGUGUUGUUGGACUGAGUCUUUGCAAAGCCUCAGGUGCUUCUCUAGGUACAUGAGAAGAUUUACUUAUUUAUAGUCCCAGCUCUGCUAUUAAGUGUCUUAAGCAAGUAGUCAACCUCUCUGGGUUUUACUUCUUCAUCUGUAAGAUGAGAAUAAUCUGUGCCCUUCUUAUUUACAAGUAUGUCAUAAAUAUAACAUAAGUUAACCAAUUAGAAAAUUGACCAAACUAAAUUCAAAUUAAAGUGUAAAUUGGGUUAGCAUUCUUAUUUCCAUUGGGUUUUAGGUGGCAAGAAGAGAAAACAUGUGGCGACAAUUUGAAGGUAGGUCAUUUACACAGAGCACUGAAUUUGGAGUCUACCAAGUUGAGGCUCUAGGGCUAGUUUACCAGGAUUGGGUUGUAUGUCCCUGGUCACUGAAGUUCUCAAGGCCUCAGUUUUCUUACCUGUAAAACAUGGGUGCUAUUUUUAGCUUGAUGACUCUGCUCUAAGACUCCAUAAGCUGGAAGACUAACAUUCACACUUUGGUGGAAAAGAAUGCAAAGCCUCUUGGGUUGAUGGUGCUGCUCCCAAGCAAGUAGAUGGAUUAAGAAUCUGACAUUCUGCCACUCGUAAAGAGUGAUGGAGUUUAAAAACUAAAGCUGAAAAGCAAAAGACAUUUGACACCUUUGGGGAAAAAACUCAACAGCACUCAAGCUAGUUUCUUCCUUAAAAAUGGUCUUCAUUCUGAAUGGGAACCACUGGCUUCUCUUUGGUAUUCAACAUAUCUGAGUAACCCUGGAAGCAAAUUAUCUGGCUGGAAUUAUCGCUCCAAGAUUUGGAUUUUUUUUUUCUAGCAGUGUUUUAUUAGCCAGACAAAAUAAUUUUUUAAAAAGAGCAAAAAAACCAAAACCAAAAACAAAAAAAACUCCAAAGGCCACAGCUAGCUCUUUUGAUGGCAAUGUCUCUAGAAGAGCAGUAGCCAUCUCUGCUUUUGGCUUGCUCCUCUGCAUGUCUGGACUCAGAUUUGUAGGGACCCCCCUCCCAAAUCCAUGUCAGUAGGUUUCACCUCCCAGCUGGCUGCUGUGGGUUGGUAGGUGCCUUGAAUGUCAUCAUGAAAGACUGAAGCUUGGUCUGAGCUCAGCGGAAAGAGUUCUAUGAUGAAUUAGGGAUGUCUGCCAUAGGCUUAGGUGGGACAGUAUUUGUGCCAGGUAUUUGCUGUCCUGACAGAGCAAGUUGGGAAGAUCCUUUAGUACUGGUCCCUCCACUGGGCAGAGGAUCAGGGACUCGGGCCAGUGCUCUUUCUGGUGUCCUGGAAGAGUGUUAUUCCAAGCCCCUGGCACUACUAUUUUGUUCUCUGCAGGAGGCUUAUUCUGGUUAGUUUGAUAGAAUAGAAGAAGGGAAGACUAUUGAUUCUGCACCAUGGUCACAGGACAGGAAUUGCAACAUGUACUGAAGUUGUAAUUCCAACAGUCCCCAUCAGGUUCCAGUAGAUACUCCAGUGGAAGGCGGACUUGGGUGGGUGCUCACUGCUUCAGUGAAGGCUGCCAUAAACCACCGAGCCUGGCAGGCUGUGGCCAGCGGUCACGGCUGCGGAUUCCCUGGAAACCUGGACCUUGGAAUGGCAAGGAGGCUGGGCCCCCCAGUGCUCCACACUGCGAUUCCUGACGUUUAAAACAGAAGUGGCCCCAUCUUCUUUAAGAAGGCAUUGGAGAAUUUACCAGUCUGCUUAGGCUUGGGAUGACCUUCCGUUACCUGUGCUAAUGGAACCAAUAUUCCACGUUUAUUUCUCACCAGUUUUAGAAUGAGCUUUAUGUUUUGGUGUGUUGAUCUGCUUUCCUGCUGAUGUUUGAACCCAUAAUGCUUCUUGCAGCCCCCUGCCCCAUUAUGCUUCCCACAACCAGCCAGCCUCUCCCAGUUUUAGAUCCAUGCCCUGCACCAGUGGACUAAUAACAGUCGCAUUUUAUUGAGAACUUACUAUGUGUUCCCUGGGAUCAAGGUCACUGUGUGACAAGGGGUGGGUCCAAGAGUGUGUGAGGCAGUGAGGUGAAGUGAGGUUAAACAUUGUGGAGAAUAUAGAAAAGAGUGGUGUGAGAGAGUUCGCCGAGAGUGGACCUGACUUCCUCUGCUACUGUGGUUUCCUCUUGUUUCCAAUGACUGCACUUGAGUUCUGCAUACGAUUAACUUUCAAUUAUCCUGAGGCCGAUUAACUGGUUUGCAGAUUAACCAAGGUGAAGGCUCACCUGGGCUUGGGAGGUGCUCAUCAACUCAGCUGCUCCAAAAUUAGCUGGUUAUGGCUGAUUGCCUACCCAUGGUCAAGGAGCCUGGGGGCUGGGCUGCUGCAGGGGAGGGGAUCAAAGGAGCAGUGUCUUCUAGGACCUUCUACUCACUUCAGCCAGAGGAACCUAUUGGCCUGUAAAGUCCUGCAAUCCCCAGAAUAAUCGCUGAGAGGUUCAGGGUACUCUGCCCCUGGUACCUCCAGCCUCAACACACUCUCCAAAUUGGGAAGAUGAAAUUGGCCAAAGGGCACAGUGAAUUGGAAAAUUCUGGAGAUUAAGUGAUCUACUGUGUUGAAAGGAGGCCCAAUGAGCAGGGGUGGCUAAUACCCCCUUUUCUUCCUCAUCCUGUGUACCUCCUGCCCAAAGAUGUAGAUUGACAGGCCUGAGGCACUGAGCAAUGCAUCCCUCUUGAGGUCAGAGGAGGCCAAGGCCACAGGGGCCAUGAGGCAGGAGUUGUCCACAAAAGCAAGCCAUUCAUGGUUCAGGCCUUCCCAUGGUGAUUGUUGUAGUUACUUAUGAGUCCCUCCCCAUGGUUGCCUGGGUUCAUGGAUAGUUGACUGCAUUUGCUGGGCCCCUGGGGGGUGAGGGAGUAGAAGUAUGUGUGUUUGCCACACCUUACACCAGAUCCGAAUAUACACAAUUUAACCUAGGAGUCAAACUGCCGUAUUUGGGGUAAUCUCAGUUUUGGGGGGAGGUGCCAAGAGUCCCAAGUAUACUCCAAAUCUUGAGAAAGUGUCCGUGAAGGCCUACCAAGAAAGCAUAAAUAUUUGUAUAGGAUUAUGUUUGAUGGGAUUCCAUGGAUUACAUUUAUUUUUUAAGCAGCAUUCACCUGAGCACCUGACUUGGCUUUUCCUCUCUGACUCUGUUCUCAUUUUGCAUUCGCCAGGCCUGGAAUGCCUUGCCUGGAUACAACUGAGUUUGCCGGCAACUGCAGUCCCUUUUUGGCCAGGCCCAUGGGUUUCCCUGGGUCCUUCUCCCUGGCUCACGUUUCCCUAGGGCUGUUGGUGUGUACCGUCUAGAGAUCACAUUUUAUUAACACAAAGAAAUCUGCUUGGGCUGCCUGGCUCUUGCAGUCACGUGGAGAGAAAUGUGCUCCUUUGGUACACCAGCCUGCAGCUCUCUGUGCAAAAUACAGUCAAGAGCUGGGCACUGGGCCAAGCUUACAUUUCACUUUGGAACACACUUUCACAUCACUCCUUGGCAGAACAUCCACGGCAGUGUCUAUUUGGGGAGUAAGUUAGAGAAGUGUUGUUUCCCUCUUAUGAGUGUAGAGAGAUAGGACCUUUAAAAAAUAUUUGACUUUUCCCCAUCUUUGCCAUCUUCAGGGUGCCCAGGUAUUAAGGCGAUCCAACCAAACAUGGAAGCUGUGUCUCAGUGGCAUCCCAUCCCUCCCACCAUCUCUUGUUUCCCUUGCUAAAUCGGUAAACAUAGCCAGGACCGCCUGGGACAGAGAAACUUAGGCCAAGGUAAUAACAUCAAAACCAAAGUCCUGGAACUCUUGAGUAAACUAGUUACCCUCCCAGAUAAAACAACUUUGUUGUCCAAAUCUUUCUUUCCAAAGAUCUAAGACUUUCAAAUGUUGGUCCAGGGCCAACCACUGAAGGAAGGAACUUCAGCUAGCCUCCUGGAAUGGCAAACACUGCUAAAAUAAACAAAUGGGCCUCUUCCAUUCAGUUUUCCCUCACUGGUCUAUUUUUAUUUAUCCUCUUCCCCCACCCCGUGUACUUUACUGCUUUGUAAUACCCCACCCCCCUUUCUCUACCUCUGUUUCCUCUCCAUCUUACUCCUCUCAGAGACCAAGUUGAUCAUUUUGCCUUCGGGAAAACAAAUAUCUUAAUUUCAAAAGGAAGACUCCGAGAAGAGAGGUGAUAUGCUUCUUUUGGUCUAUCCCCUCAUACUCAGUUAUUAUAGAUGGCUGCCUAGCGCCUGACUUGGGCUUGAAAAUAAAGUUGGUUCUGGAAUUUUCAGCUCUCCUUAAGAAAGAUCAAAAUGAUUUGAAAGCAAAGAUUUAUGGGAAUAAUGCUAACUUCUCCUCUCUCGAUGAAACAGACCCCUCUUGUAACAAAUGACUGAAAAUAAACUCUUCCUUUCCAGUCAUGCCAACCCAUAAAUUUCAUAGGGAUUUCCCAAGUGCUCAGCCUUAUUCUGAUUCUAGUGUUUUCUGCUUUGGACUGUUGCUGUCAGUACCAUGGAGCCAAGCAACAAUGAAUCUAGAUUUAAAGAAACGUUUUCCAGCAAGGUGCAUAUAUCAGGCUGCUGCUUCAUAGGACAGGCCACCCAUGGGAAGCCCCUCAUUUGUAAAAGAGGCCCAGAACCUCAGGGACCAAGCUGCAGCCUCCUGCUGGUCACCUGGGGAAGCCUUUGCUUACUCUGCAGAAGGGAGGUGACAGAAACCCAUUCCACCUGUCUCAAAAACCUGCUGGUAAUUAGCUUUCAAAAUAAUGCCAAGUCCUCACAUGGCUAGUAGAUGCACACGCUCCUUGGGGGGGUGGAAAGAGUGCUACUUCACAGAGUUAGACCGUUGCGAUCACAUUAGUCAUUCCAGGCGAGGUCAGAGAAGGUUAUUGGAGAGAUGGAAGUCGCCCUGCAGUUUCAAAGAGGUCUCCUGAAAGUAUUGAGAAAUAGUUGAAGUUCAGAAGUUUAUUUGAAGCUUUGUUCCCCUUCCCCUGAUAAGCCAGACAGGUAAUUUUUAGCCACAUUUUCUUUUUUGACAGACCAAAGCUCUAGCACAUGAUUGAGAUGAUCUGUAGUCGGCAUCAAGUGUCAGUUCUCCAUUGCUUGUGUGGAUUAUCCGUGCGGCAUAUUGGCCACGGUCAAUGUGUAAGCCCUGGCUGGUUGCCAUUUGCCACCCAGCCAGAGACCACCUCAAGGCUUCCACCUUGUGCCCUCGCUUGGGGAAGUGUUCAGGGAAUGUGAUUUCAUUUCAUAAUUAACUGGAGUGAUGCACGGUGCAUUUCUUCAUGCAUUAUUGUGGCAGGGCAGUUAUCACUCAGAAUUGGCCGUCCCUGGACUGCUUUGAAAAUCCGUAGGUGAAUUUGUUGGUCCUGAGUUGGCCUGUCCUCACUCCAGUGUGAGUAUUUCAAUCCUGCAGGAUUUUUUUUUCAUUUUGUGUGAAAUGAAGUAGGUGAAGGUGUGUUAAAACCCAUCUUCUUGUCUCCCAAAGCACUUCUGUAGAUGCAUGACUCUGCACUUGACCUUGAGGUUCUCGGACGUGGGGACUAGGCUUUUAUCUCCAUUGCCUCAGCACGUGCUUUAUACCAUAGUUGACGUUCAGUAAACAUUUGUUGAAAUAACAAAGGCAUUACUUUCAUUAUAAAUGGUUUUAAAAGAGAACUUGUGCUGACUUUAAUAUCUUCAUUGAUGCCGACAGAAUUGUGCUCAACGCGGUGAGUCUUUGCAAAGGGUCAGGAUGGCCCUUUGACAGAGCUGACUCAGGGUGGUCUUGGAGGAGGUGAGGUGCAGAUAUAUCCUGCUGCUGACAUGGUGAUAGCUCCAGAGCUCAUCCUGAGGCUUGUGUGAGCUGCUGUUCUAUGUGAACGCUUUGCUAUUUUCCAACUAAUUAUUCGAUAGUCAUGGAUGAAGAGUGUUUUCUGACCAGAGCAUUUAGAUGCUUACAAAUAAAAGUGGGUUUUGACCCCCCAGUUUUCCAUCCCUCGAUGGCAGGCAGAAUUGGAAGGCACCAGCUCCAGCCUGCAUGUUCCCAGAUCACUUGUAAGAGUUCUUAAAACUCAUCCAACAGGUUCUUGAUUGGGAUUUUACCUGGGUGAGAAAACAGGCCCAGAGAACCAAAGAAAUGCAGCAGCACACAGAGUUAGUAGUCUGCAUGGCUGGAAUACGAGACCAGACCACGGAGUCAGACCCCGAACCGCGCGCUGAGCCACUACCCUCCACUGCUUCUCAGUAGAAGGCUCUUGGCCUGUGGAACGUGGCAGAACUCCUGGAACCUCUGAACACCUUUGUCAGUGGCACAACAGAGUGACACAUAGGUACCGGGAAGCUAGACGCAGAAGGAAAGAAGACAAAAGGAGCCACUGUAAUCCGACCAGAGUGCCUGUCUUUGGAGGUCCUAGUUUCUCAGCCAGUUCCUGGGGAGUCUGAUUUUAAACGACACAGAGAAGCUGGUUUUCAAAACACAGGCGUUACUUAUAAAUCAGGAAGGAUUUCAUUUACAAAUGAAUUCUGUGCUUUUGAAGGACGCUUCAAGUCCACAGUGCCUUCCAAUAUCGUUUUAAAUGUGAAACACCAUGAAAUGAUAAGCACGCUGAUCCAGGAAGAUAUAGGGAUGCUCCAGUGGGGUAUUAGGAACACUUAAUGCCUCUCAGCUAAGCCCGCAGUACAGUCUGCAUAAGUCAAGACAGGGUUCAUUCUUCCCGUGCCCACCCUCUGGUGGUCUGUCCCAGUGCAACAGAGAGACACGGAUUUCCCCCUUCAGCCAUCCUGAGAAGUCCUGGGGGGCAGGGGGGUGGGAGGGGAAGCAACAUGGUCAUGUGACUGUGCUGGGCACCAGCUCUGCAUCUGCCCUCAGCUGGGUGAAUGGAAGCAGUUGUAGGUGCUUACUCCCUGUUUGCCCCCUGAGAGCUGUGCUUGGUGAGAGCUCCCCACAGACUCAGAGCAUGGGGCCGAAAUUUUCUCCCAGAGCGUUGGAUCUGAAGCAGCAGAGAGCAUGCAGCCAGCACUUGGUAAAUAUUGGUUCCCUUCCCCUUCCUGUGUGUGAGGCGAGUUGUAGGAGUGAAGCAUCAGCAGUUCGGAAUGCAAAAAUAGAGCUCCAUGUGAGGAUGUGGCCUCUUUUCCCCGAGUGCGGACCAGAUGUCAGGCUGCCUGGUAAGGACUCGGGGAAUGCGAUGGCUUCCUUCUUUGGGGCUUCGCUGCUUCUCCCCAUAUGGAGAAGCCUCCCUUUCAAUGCACUUCUUGGAUCCAAAAAAACAAGAAUGAAAAGGAAGAUGGUAUAAAAGUCUUAGGAAUGAACUUCCUGUAUUCUCCCUCUUCAAAAGGACUUGUAAUGUCUUAUUUGGAUCUUAACGGCAAGUCUGAUACCUGGUCAUUAUCCCUGUUAUUUAAUAACAUAAUAAAAAUUAAUGGAGAUCCAUCAAAUGGA
This is a long non-coding RNA of Neofelis nebulosa (Clouded leopard), 9904 nucleotides long. RefSeq lists it as uncharacterized. The transcript is spliced from 2 exons. Lineage: Eukaryota; Metazoa; Chordata; Mammalia; Carnivora; Felidae. The record is from RefSeq and is a predicted model, not a curated record.